GGGUUAUAGCUCAGCUGGUUAGAGCGCUACGUUGACAUCGUAGAGGUCGUUGGUUCGAUUCCAACUAAUCCC
RNAcentral lists this transfer RNA (72 nucleotides) under human gut metagenome. It matches the Rfam family "tRNA". From Rfam's summary of the family: Transfer RNA (tRNA) molecules are approximately 80 nucleotides in length. RNAcentral also lists the same sequence under 3 other names. The record is from RNAcentral.